GAUUAAUUUGCUUCUUUGGUGUUAUACAUUUAUAUCUUAAAUAUGCAUUUCAAAGGCAGCUUUUUGUUUUUAUCAGCAGUGGUUUUGGUUGUGCUGUCAACAUCUACAGGCGUUAAUGGAGAGCAAGAUAAAGAACUACCCAGAGGAGGAGAUUACAUUGAACCUAGUCAACCUAAUACCCAGUCACCUUCAC
This is a long non-coding RNA of Adelges cooleyi (spruce gall adelgid), 193 nucleotides long. RefSeq lists it as uncharacterized. Lineage: Eukaryota; Metazoa; Arthropoda; Insecta; Hemiptera; Adelgidae. The record is from RefSeq and is a predicted model, not a curated record. The transcript is spliced from 5 exons.